GGAAUAAAAGUCGUAACAAGGUUUCCGUAGGUGAACCUGCGGAAGGAUCAUUACAGAGUUCAUGCCCUCACGGGUAGAUCUCCCACCCUUGAAUAUUUAUACCUUAGUUGCUUUGGCAGGCCGUGGAAACACCAUGGGCUCCGGCUUAUGCGUGCCUGCCAGAGGAAACAAACUCUGUUUUUAGUGAUGUCUGAGUACUAUAUAGCAGUUAAAACUUUCAACAACGGAUCUCUUGGUUCUG
RNAcentral lists this unclassified non-coding RNA (241 nucleotides) under plant metagenome. RNAcentral describes it as "partial contains small subunit ribosomal RNA, internal transcribed spacer 1, and 5.8S ribosomal RNA". The stretch from base 1 to 53 matches the Rfam family "Eukaryotic small subunit ribosomal RNA", at positions 1779 to 1831 of the family's 1831-position model. The record is from RNAcentral.